GAUGAACGCUGGCGGCGUGCCUAAUACAUGCAAGUCGAGCGAACAGACGAGGAGCUUGCUUCUCUGACGUUAGCGGCGGACGGGUGAGUAACACGUGGAUAACCUACCUAUAAGUCUGGGAUAACUUCGGGAAACCGGCGCUAAUCCCGGAUGAUAUUUUGAACCGCAUGGUUCAAUAGUGAAAGACGGUGUUGCUGUCACUUAUAGAUGGAUCCGCGCUGCAUUAGCUAGUUGGUAAGGUAACGGCUUACCAAGGCAACGAUGCGUAGCCGACCUGUGAGGGUGAUCGGCCACACUGGAACUGAGACACGGUCCAGACUCCUACGGGAGGCAGCAGUAGGGAAUCUUCCGCAAUGGGCGAAAGCCUGACGGAGCAACGCCGCGUGAGUGAUGAAGGUCUUCGGAUCGUAAAACUCUGUUAUUAGGGAAGAACAUAUGUGUAAGUAACUGUGCACAUCUUGACGGUACCUAAUCAGAAAGCCACGGCUAACUACGUG
Molecule: ribosomal RNA, 497 nt
Filed under: uncultured bacterium
Lineage: Bacteria
Description: partial 16S ribosomal RNA
Rfam family: Bacterial small subunit ribosomal RNA
Source: RNAcentral